This 253-nucleotide ribosomal RNA is filed under the name uncultured bacterium. Its description in RNAcentral is "partial 16S ribosomal RNA". It matches the Rfam family "Bacterial small subunit ribosomal RNA", at positions 524 to 776 of the family's 1533-position model. The record is from RNAcentral.
UACGGAGGGUGCAAGCGUUAAUCGGAAUUACUGGGCGUAAAGGGUGCGUAGGCGGUUGUUUAAGUCUGUUGUGAAAUCCCCGGGCUUAACCUGGGAAUGGCAUUUGGGACUGCAAGGCUCGAGUGCGGCAGAGGAGACUGGAAUUCCUGGUGUAGCAGUGAAAUGCGUAGAUAUCAGGAGGAACACCGAUGGCGAAGGCAGGUCUCUGGGCUGACACUGACGCUCAUGCACGAAAGCGUGGGGAGCAAACAGG